GUUACAGCCGGCGAUGUCCGAAUGGGGAAACCCAGUGCAAUUCGUUGCACUAUCGUUAACUGAAUACAUAGGUUAACGAGGCGAACCGGGGGAACUGAAACAUCUAAGUACCCCGAGGAAAAGAAAUCAACCGAGAUUCCCCCAGUAGCGGCGAGCGAACGGGGAGCAGCCCAGAGUCUGAAUCAGCUUGUGUGUUAGUGGAACGGUCUGGAAAGUCCGACGGUACAGGGUGAUAGUCCCGUACACCAAAAUGCACAGGUUGUGAACUCGAAGAGUAGGGCGGGACACGUGGUAUCCUGUCUGAAUAUGGGGGGACCAUCCUCCAAGGCUAAAUACUCCUGACUGACCGAUAGUGAACCAGUACCGUGAGGGAAAGGCGAAAAGAACCCCGGCGAGGGGAGUGAAAAAGAACCUGAAACCGUGUACGUACAAGCAGUGGGAGCACCUUCGGGUGUGACUGCGUACCUUUUGUAUAAUGGGUCAGCGACUUAUAUUCUGUAGCAAGGUUAACCGUAUAGGGGAGCCGCAGGGAAACCGAGUCUUAACUGGGCGUUAAGUUGCAGGGUAUAGACCCGAAACCCGGUGAUCUAGCCAUGGGCAGGUUGAAGGUUGGGUAACACUAACUGGAGGACCGAACCGACUAAUGUUGAAAAAUUAGCGGAUGACUUGUGGCUGGGGGUGAAAGGCCAAUCAAACCGGGAGAUAGCUGGUUCUCCCCGAAAGCUAUUUAGGUAGCGCCUCGUGAACUCAUCUUCGGGGGUAGAGCACUGUUUCGGCUAGGGGGUCAUCCCGACUUACCAACCCGAUGCAAACUACGAAUACCGAAGAAUGUUAUCACGGGAGACACACGGCGGGUGCUAACGUCCGUCGUGAAGAGGGAAACAACCCAGACCGCCAGCUAAGGUCCCAAAGUCAUGGUUAAGUGGGAAACGAUGUGGGAAGGCACAGACAGCCAGGAUGUUGGCUUAGAAGCAGCCAUCAUUUAAAGAAAGCGUAAUAGCUCACUGGUCGAGUCGGCCUGCGCGGAAGAUGUAACGGGGCUAAACCAUGCACCGAAGCUGCGGCAGCGACACUAUGUGUUGUUGGGUAGGGGAGCGUUCUGUAAGCCUGCGAAGGUGUGCUGUGAGGCAUGCUGGAGGUAUCAGAAGUGCGAAUGCUGACAUAAGUAACGAUAAAGCGGGUGAAAAGCCCGCUCGCCGGAAGACCAAGGGUUCCUGUCCAACGUUAAUCGGGGCAGGGUGAGUCGACCCCUAAGGCGAGGCCGAAAGGCGUAGUCGAUGGGAAACAGGUUAAUAUUCCUGUACUUGGUGUUACUGCGAAGGGGGGACGGAGAAGGCUAUGUUAGCCGGGCGACGGUUGUCCCGGUUUAAGCAUGUAGGCUGAUUGUCCAGGCAAAUCCGGAUAAUCAAGGCUGAGGUGUGAUGACGAGGCACUACGGUGCUGAAGUAACAAAUGCCCUGCUUCCAGGAAAAGCCUCUAAGCAUCAGGUAACAUUAAAUCGUACCCCAAACCGACACAGGUGGUCAGGUAGAGAAUACCAAGGCGCUUGAGAGAACUCGGGUGAAGGAACUAGGCAAAAUGGUGCCGUAACUUCGGGAGAAGGCACGCUGGUGUGUAGGUGAAGUCCCUGCGGAUGGAGCUGAGACCAGUCGAAGAUACCAGCUGGCUGCAACUGUUUAUUAAAAACACAGCACUGUGCAAACACGAAAGUGGACGUAUACGGUGUGACGCCUGCCCGGUGCCGGAAGGUUAAUUGAUGGGGUUAUCCGUAAGGAGAAGCUCUUGAUCGAAGCCCCGGUAAACGGCGGCCGUAACUAUAACGGUCCUAAGGUAGCGAAAUUCCUUGUCGGGUAAGUUCCGACCUGCACGAAUGGCGUAAUGAUGGCCAGGCUGUCUCCACCCGAGACUCAGUGAAAUUGAACUCGCUGUGAAGAUGCAGUGUACCCGCGGCAAGACGGAAAGACCCCGUGAACCUUUACUAUAGCUUGACACUGAACAUUGAGCCUUGAUGUGUAGGAUAGGUGGGAGGCUUUGAAGCGUGGACGCCAGUCUGCGUGGAGCCAACCUUGAAAUACCACCCUUUAAUGUUUGAUGUUCUAACGUUGGCCCCUUACCGGGGUUGCGGACAGUGUCUGGUGGGUAGUUUGACUGGGGCGGUCUCCUCCCAAAGCGUAACGGAGGAGCACGAAGGUUAGCUAAUCCUGGUCGGACAUCAGGAGGUUAGUGCAAUGGCAUAAGCUAGCUUGACUGCGAGCGUGACGGCGCGAGCAGGUGCGAAAGCAGGUCAUAGUGAUCCGGUGGUUCUGAAUGGAAGGGCCAUCGCUCAACGGAUAAAAGGUACUCCGGGGAUAACAGGCUGAUACCGCCCAAGAGUUCAUAUCGACGGCGGUGUUUGGCACCUCGAUGUCGGCUCAUCACAUCCUGGGGCUGAAGUAGGUCCCAAGGGUAUGGCUGUUCGCCAUUUAAAGUGGUACGCGAGCUGGGUUUAGAACGUCGUGAGACAGUUCGGUCCCUAUCUGCCGUGGGCGCUGGAGAAUUGAGGGGGGCUGCUCCUAGUACGAGAGGACCGGAGUGGACGCAUCACUGGUGUUCGGGUUGUCAUGCCAAUGGCACUGCCCGGUAGCUAAAUGCGGAAGAGAUAAGUGCUGAAAGCAUCUAAGCACGAAACUUGCCCCGAGAUGAGUUCUCCCUGAGACUUUAAGUCUCCUGAAGGAACGUUGAAGACGACGACGUUGAUAGGCCGGGUGUGUAAGCGCAGCGAUGCGUUGAGCUAACCGGUACUAAUGAACCGUGAGGCUUAACCUU
This 2805-nucleotide ribosomal RNA is filed under the name Klebsiella pneumoniae. RNAcentral describes it as "bacterial LSU rRNA". It matches the Rfam family "Bacterial large subunit ribosomal RNA". The record is from RNAcentral. Lineage: Bacteria; Pseudomonadati; Pseudomonadota; Gammaproteobacteria; Enterobacterales; Enterobacteriaceae.